Non-coding RNA from Vicia faba (fava bean), 294 nucleotides. NCBI's taxonomy places the organism in Eukaryota, Viridiplantae, Streptophyta, Magnoliopsida, Fabales, Fabaceae. The record is from the annotation of a GenBank genome assembly.
AUGAAGACGAGCAUAACAUUUGCGGCAAAUGGUUUUGUCUUGAUUGCAUUUCCUCGACAAAGCCAUCAAAGAAGGUUCAAUGAUUCCACCACAAAGUUAACAUCCAACAAGAUGAAGAGAAGAUUCCUUCUGGAUAUUUUAAUCAGUCAAGGUGUGCCCAUCUCCAAGCUGCUUACCGGCGAAAAUCAAACGCUGCUGAUCCGGAGGGAUACCUUGUUUAUCUUGAAUCUUGGUCUUGACAUUGUCGAUGGUGUCGCUGCUCUCGACCUCGAGGGUGGUGGUUUUCCCAUUUAA